GUGCAGUAGGCGAGAAACCUCCGCAAUGCUCGAAAGAGCGACGGGGGACUCCAAGUGCCUACGCUUUGCGUAGGCUUUUCCCAAGCCUAAAAAGCUUGGGGAAUAAGGGCUGGGUAAGACGGGUGCCAGCCGCCGCGGUAGUACCCGCAGCCCGAGUGGUGGCCGCUUUUAUUGGGCCUAAAGCGUCCGUAGCCGGUCUGGUAAAUGCCUGGGUAAAUCGUCUGGCUCAACCAGACGAAUUCCGGGUAGACUGCCAGACUAGGGACCGGA
Molecule: ribosomal RNA, 270 nt
Filed under: uncultured microorganism
Description: partial 16S ribosomal RNA
Rfam family: Archaeal small subunit ribosomal RNA
Source: RNAcentral